UGCCAGCCGCCGCGGUAAUACGGAGGGUGCGAGCGUUAAACAGAAUUAUUGGGCGUAAAGAGCUCGUAGGCGGUUCGGUAAGUCAGAUGUGAAAACUCAAGGCUCAACCUUGAGACGCCACCUGAUACUGCCGUGACUUGAGUCCGGUAGAGGAGCGUGGAAUUCCUGGUGUAGCGGUGAAAUGCGCAGAUAUCAGGAGGGACACCAACGGCGAAGGCAGCGCUCUGGGCCGGUACUGACGCUGAGGAGCGAAAGCGUGGGGAGCAAACAGGAUUAGAUA
Molecule: ribosomal RNA, 280 nt
Filed under: uncultured bacterium
Lineage: Bacteria
Description: partial 16S ribosomal RNA
Rfam family: Bacterial small subunit ribosomal RNA
Source: RNAcentral